GACCAGUGUAGGAACAGGGAUGGACGGUGUCCAUCCUUUCUGCUGGAUUUGGCAGAAAACUGUGCCUCUAAGAGCCAGGUUUUAAAACUUGGAUACUAGUUAUCCCUAACGAGGAUAAUUGGAUCCCUCUUUUUCAAAUCAUAGACUUAAGAAUUUGUUUACUAAAAUGUGCUGUUCCCUAAAAUUAAUUUUAUUUUUAACUUUCUUCUAUAGCUGGUAGUCAUGAAGAUUCGGCUACUGAAUUCAGGUCCCAAACAAUAAGUCUUGCUUCAGCCUGGAUCCUGGAAAGAAGAAGACUUAUGGAACAGAGCUAUAAACAACUUACACCCAACUAUCAGCCCAACAGGAUCUGUCACAUGGAUAACGGCACCCAUUUUACAGAGGAGCAAGCUGAGACCAGAAACACGAAGUAACUUGUCUUAUUCCAUGGAAGAGUCAGUUCUUAGAGUAGACGCCUCCAAGCUGAAACCCUGACUGUGCCGUCUCCAGACAGGGAAGCCACAGAGAGGAAAUCUAGCAAUUUUGAGCAUAAACUCUGGAGCCAGACUCCCUAGGGGUAGAGCCCAGAUCUGCCUCUGCAACCUGUGCCAAUCCAGGAAAUGCUUUAACCUCUCUGGGCCCUGGGUUCCUCAGUUGCAAAACAGAGACGUAAUAAGGUAAGAAAGGAGAAGGACAUCACAAGAGGUACUUUGUUUCCUCAGCUGGGACCAGAACCCCAGGCUGUGAGCUCACCCCAUACAGAGAAUUUCCACCUCUGAACAAGGAAGAAUAGGAUCUGCCGAGCACCAGAGGCUAAGUGGGAAGAAGGGAUCAAAUCCUAACUGUCCAGGCUCGCCUCUCACCAUGGAAACACGGCCUGGCUGCACGCAGACACCGAGGGCCACACCGGAGUAUACAUUUACAUUGGGAGAAGCAGAUGAAUUCGCUCAAUUCACUAACACUCUUGUUUAAUUUGGAGCUUUGAGCGCCCAACUGCCAAGUGAAAUGGCUGUCUUAGAAAGCUCCUGUGUAUUUUAAAGGAACAUUGCAUGCAUUUUAA
This is a long non-coding RNA of Canis lupus familiaris (dog), 1039 nucleotides long. RefSeq lists it as uncharacterized. The transcript is spliced from 4 exons. The record is from RefSeq and is a predicted model, not a curated record. NCBI's taxonomy places the organism in Eukaryota, Metazoa, Chordata, Mammalia, Carnivora, Canidae.